RNAcentral lists this ribosomal RNA (250 nucleotides) under uncultured Staphylococcus sp. RNAcentral's name for it is "partial 16S ribosomal RNA". It matches the Rfam family "Bacterial small subunit ribosomal RNA", at positions 90 to 334 of the family's 1533-position model. The record is from RNAcentral. Lineage: Bacteria; Bacillati; Bacillota; Bacilli; Caryophanales; Staphylococcaceae.
CGUUAGCGGCGGACGGGUGAGUAACACGUGGGUAACCUACCUAUAAGACUGGGAUAACUCCGGGAAACCGGGGCUAAUACCGGAUAACACAUGAAACCGCAUGGUUUCAUGAUGAAAGACGGUUUUGCUGUCACUUAUAGAUGGAUCCGCGCCGAAUUAGCUAGUUGGUAAGGUAACGGCUUACCAAGGCAACGAUGCGUAGCCGACCUGAGAGGGUGAUCGGCCACACUGGAACUGAGACACGGUCCAG